RNAcentral lists this ribosomal RNA (423 nucleotides) under uncultured prokaryote. RNAcentral describes it as "bacterial SSU rRNA". It matches the Rfam family "Bacterial small subunit ribosomal RNA", at positions 355 to 796 of the family's 1533-position model. The record is from RNAcentral.
UGAGGAAUUUUGCGCAAUGGGGGAAACCCUGACGCAGCAACGCCGCGUGGAGGAAGACGGCUUCGGUUGUAAACUCCUUUUCUGAGGGAAGAGCAAGGACGGUACCUCAGGAAUAAGCCACGGCUAACUACGUGCCAGCAGCCGCGGUAACACGUAGGUGGCAAGCGUUAUCCGGAUUCAUUGGGCGUAAAGCGCACGCAGGCGGCGUGAUAAGUCUGGCGUGAAAUCUUCUGGCUUAACCGGAAGAGGUCGUCGGAAACUGUCAUGCUAGAGGUGAUGAGAGGAAUGCGGAAUUCCCGGUGUAGCGGUGGAAUGUGCAGAGAUCGGGAGGAACAUCAGUGGCGAAAGCGGCAUUCUGGCAUUUACCUGACGCUCAUGUGCGAAAGCGUGGGGAGCGAACGGGAUUAGAUACCCCUGUAGUCC